GAUGAACGCUGGCGGCGUGCCUAAUACAUGCAAGUCGAGCGAACAGACGAGGAGCUUGCUCCUCUGACGUUAGCGGCGGACGGGUGAGUAACACGUGGAUAACCUACCUAUAAGACUGGGAUAACUUCGGGAAACCGGAGCUACUACCGGAUAAUAUAUUGAACCGCAUGGUUCAAUAGUGAAAGACGGUUUUGCUGUCACUUAUAGAUGGAUCCGCGCCGCAUUAGCUAGUUGGUAAGGUAACGGCUUACCAAGGCAACGAUGCGUAGCCGACCUGAGAGGGUGAUCGGCCACACGGGAACUGAGACACGGUCCAGACUCCGACGGGAGGCAGCAGUAGGGAAUCUUCCGCGAUGGGCGAAAGCUUGAUGGAGCAACGCCGCGUGAGUGAUGAAGGUCUUCGGAUCGGAAAACUCUGUUAUUAGGGAAGAACAAAUGUGUAAGUAACUAUGCACGUCUUGACGGUACCUAAUCAGAAAGCCACGGCUAACUACGUG
Molecule: ribosomal RNA, 497 nt
Filed under: uncultured bacterium
Lineage: Bacteria
Description: partial 16S ribosomal RNA
Rfam family: Bacterial small subunit ribosomal RNA
Source: RNAcentral